GCUGGCUAUUGCUAAGUAAAUCAAUUGACUUAUUGGUGCCAUAUAAAUACUACUACGAAUAAUAAAGAGCAGAAAAUGCAAACUUAAAAAAAAAACAAAAAAAAACAACAACAAAAAAAAACUUAUUUAUGGCAGGUAGAUGUUGCACAUUAUCCAUGUAAAACAGGUAUGGAUAUUAAAGGGAUACUAUAGGCACCAAAGCAACUUUAGAGUAAUGAAACAGUUUUGGUGUGUGGUUCAUACCCCUGCAGUCUGACUGCUCAAUUCUCUGCCAUAUAAGAGUUAAAUCACUUUGUUUAUGCAGCCCUUGCCACACCUCCCUGAAUGUGACUUAAAUGCCUUCCUAAAUAUUUCAUGUAAAGAGAUAGAAUUUUAAAUUUUAUUGUACAUUCGGUAUAAUUUAGA
Pelobates cultripes (western spadefoot toad) is the source of this 405-nucleotide non-coding RNA. NCBI's taxonomy places the organism in Eukaryota, Metazoa, Chordata, Amphibia, Anura, Pelobatidae. The record is from the annotation of a GenBank genome assembly.